Oncorhynchus tshawytscha (Chinook salmon) is the source of this 512-nucleotide long non-coding RNA. The record is from Ensembl. NCBI's taxonomy places the organism in Eukaryota, Metazoa, Chordata, Actinopteri, Salmoniformes, Salmonidae.
CAGGCCUAAUCAGAACCAGAUGAGCAAGUCGAUUCAUCACAGAAGAACACUGUAUAAAGAUACUGAUCUGAAAAUAAGAUAAGAGAGACGGAGGUUAAUGUAACAAUCAUAUAAGAACGAGAGUGUGUGUGCAUUUACACGCAUGUAUCCGUCCAUGUUUGUGUGUGGAGUGUGUCUCUCCCUUAGGGUCUCUGAAGGGCUCAUCCGUCUCCCCCUCCUCUCCUCAGCGUGUUGAGCUGAGCUGCCAUACUGAGCAGAGGGCCUCAGAGGGGAGGUGGAGAUGAUAGGGCUUAAUUAAUCCUGAUUAAAUAUGGGGCUGUAAUUUCAAGGAACAGCUCUCUCCCAGGUCUCCUGAUCCCUCAGAGGUCAGAGAGGCAGGAGGACUGUAGUUUAGAGGAACAGCUCUCUCCCAGGGCUCCUGAUCCCUCAGAGGUCUGAGAGGCAGGAUGGCUGUAGUUUAGAGGAACAGCUCUCUCCCAGGUCUCCUGAUCCCUCAGAGGUCUGAGAGGCAG